Molecule: ribosomal RNA, 521 nt
Filed under: uncultured bacterium
Lineage: Bacteria
Description: bacterial SSU rRNA
Rfam family: Bacterial small subunit ribosomal RNA
Source: RNAcentral
GCAAGUCGAACGAAGUAGCAAUACUUAGUGGCAAACGGGUGAGUAACACGUAGUCAACCUACCUUUAAGUGGGGGAUAACUAGCCGAAAGGUUAGCUAAUACCGCAUGUGAUCUUCGAGUGGCAUCACUUGACGAUCAAAGCAGCAAUGCGCUUAGAGACCGGACUGCGUCCCAUUAGCUAGUUGGUGGGGUAAUGGCCUACCAAGGCUCCGAUGGGUAGCCGGCUUGAGAGAGCGACCAGCCACACUGGAACUGAGACACGGUCCACACUCCUACGGGAGGCAGCAGUGAGGAAUUUUCCGCAAUGGGGGCAACCCUGACGGAGCGACGCCGCGUGUGGGAAGAAGGCCUUCGGGUCGUAAACCACUGUCGAAGGGGACGAUAUUGACGGUACCCUUGGAGGAAGCCCCGGCUAACUACGUGCCAGCAGCCGCGGUAAGACGUAGGGGGCAAGCGUCGUCCGGAAUCAUUGGGCGUAAAGCGCUCGUAGGCGGAUCUUUAAGUCUGUGAAGAAAGACCUG